RNAcentral lists this ribosomal RNA (550 nucleotides) under soil bacterium LB-P1-25. Its description in RNAcentral is "bacterial SSU rRNA". It matches the Rfam family "Bacterial small subunit ribosomal RNA", at positions 355 to 896 of the family's 1533-position model. The record is from RNAcentral.
UGGGGAAUAUUGGACAAUGGGGGGAACCCUGAUCCAGCCAUGCCGCGUGUGUGAAGAAGGCCUUUUGGUUGUAAAGCACUUUAAGCGAGGAGGAGGCUACUCUAGUUAAUACCUAGAGAUAGUGGACGUUACUCGCAGAAUAAGCACCGGCUAACUCUGUGCCAGCAGCCGCGGUAAUACAGAGGGUGCAAGCGUUAAUCGGAUUUACUGGGCGUAAAGCGCGCGUAGGUGGCCAAUUAAGUCAAAUGUGAAAUCCCCGAGCUUAACUUGGGAAUUGCAUUCGAUACUGGUUGGCUAGAGUAUGGGAGAGGAUGGUAGAAUUCCAGGUGUAGCGGUGAAAUGCGUAGAGAUCUGGAGGAAUACCGAUGGCGAAGGCAGCCAUCUGGCCUAAUACUGACACUGAGGUGCGAAAGCAUGGGGAGCAAACAGGAUUAGAUACCCUGGUAGUCCAUGCCGUAAACGAUGUCUACUAGCCGUUGGGGCCUUUGAGGCUUUAGUGGCGCAGCUAACGCGAUAAGUAGACCGGCUGGGGAGUACGGUCGCAAGACUA